AGGGGUAUAGCUCAACUGGUAGAGCAGCGGUCUCCAAAACCGCGUGUUGAGAGUUCAAGUCUUUCUGCCCCUGCCA
This 76-nucleotide transfer RNA is filed under the name Acidaminococcaceae bacterium. RNAcentral describes it as "tRNA-Trp". It matches the Rfam family "tRNA". From Rfam's summary of the family: Transfer RNA (tRNA) molecules are approximately 80 nucleotides in length. Their secondary structure includes four short double-helical elements and three loops (D, anti-codon, and T loops). The record is from RNAcentral. Lineage: Bacteria; Bacillati; Bacillota; Negativicutes; Acidaminococcales; Acidaminococcaceae.